RNAcentral lists this long non-coding RNA (914 nucleotides) under Elaeis guineensis (African oil palm). Its description in RNAcentral is "long non-coding RNA (EGUI_LNC020865)". Lineage: Eukaryota; Viridiplantae; Streptophyta; Magnoliopsida; Arecales; Arecaceae. The record is from RNAcentral.
CCAUGUAGGUCAGUUGGAGGCUUUCAAUUUAAUCAUGUUGCUAACUCCUUCCAUCUAGUCCAGACAACAAACCAAAUGCUCUGAUACCAUUUGUAAGUGUUUGGAGAUGGAUACGGAAUGCGAAAGCAAUCUGUAGGAUCAAUAUAAGCAGACUAGGCAAUGUCACAAACACCUUAUAGGCACAAAAAUAAGUAAACCUUCACAAGGGCAUAAUAAUGAAGCAAACAACCAUAAUCCAAGCAAGUAAUAAUCUCACAAGAUAGAGCCAAGCAAAUCACACAAGGAGAUAACAAAUUUAUGUGGAAACCCCCACAAGAUUGGGGAAAAAAACCAAGGGGCCAACCAACGAGGAAUCCACUAUAUCAACAAGCAAAUACCAGAGUUCUUCUCAAGUUUUGUCCAAAAGAAAAACUUGAUAAAAUAGAGGGAGAUACAGAGAUUACCUAACUAAGAUGAAAAAUUCUAGUCCCUCACCACAUCAAGGCCUUCCAAAGGAUACCCACUUGGAAGAGCAUAAAGAGUAAUCCCAAUCUCCGGAACUAUGGUGGAGCACAAGAGAAAGGCAAGACCAGCAGCUUCUUCCUCUUCUUUCCUUCCUUCCUCUUCUCUUUUCUUUUUUUCUCUUUUGAAGCCUCAGCCCCUUCUCUGCUGUAUGAGAAAUUAAGGGGUAAAACCCCAUCCAUCGGCUGCCAUCUUUAGUUGGGCACGUGACCAGCACAAGCCCAAAGUUGGGCUAGCUGGAAGAAAAUAAGGCCCAAAUGGGCCCAAGACCAACAAACUCUUUCCCCAUCGCAAGGCAUGCUAGGAAACUUCAAAGGGAAUACCCAGCCUAAAAAGCUUAAGCUAUUAUUGUGGUAGCAAGGGCAACAAAUAAUAUCGGAGCAGAUUUUAUAUAAAUGAUUAUUUUUAAGAAA